GAUGAACGCUGGCGGCGUGCCUAAUACAUGCAAGUCGAGCGAACGGACGAGAAGCUUGCUUCUCUGGUGUUAGCGGCGGACGGGUGAGUAACACGUGGAUAACCUACCUAUAAGACUGGGAUAACUUCGGGAAACCGUAGCUAAUACCGGAUAAUAUUUUGAACCGCAUGGUUCAAAAGUGAAAGACGGUCUUGCUGUCACUUAUAGAUGGAUCCGCGCUGCAUUAGCUAGUUGGUAAGGUAACGGCUUACCAAGGCAACGAUGCAUAGCCGACCUGAGAGGGUGAUCGGCCACACUGGAACUGAGACACGGUCCAGACUCCUACGGGAGGCAGCAGUAGGGAAUCUUCCGCAAUGGGCGAAAGCCUGACGGAGCAACGCCGCGUGAGUGAUGAAGGUCUUCGGAUCGUAAAACUCUGUUAUUAGGGAAGAACAUAUGUGUAAGUAACUGUGCACAUCUUGACGGUACCUAAUCAGAAAGCCACGGCUAACUACGU
This 496-nucleotide ribosomal RNA is filed under the name uncultured bacterium. Its description in RNAcentral is "partial 16S ribosomal RNA". It matches the Rfam family "Bacterial small subunit ribosomal RNA", at positions 28 to 506 of the family's 1533-position model. The record is from RNAcentral.